RNAcentral lists this ribosomal RNA (500 nucleotides) under uncultured bacterium. RNAcentral describes it as "partial 16S ribosomal RNA". It matches the Rfam family "Bacterial small subunit ribosomal RNA", at positions 30 to 523 of the family's 1533-position model. The record is from RNAcentral.
AUUGAACGCUGGCGGAAUGCUUUACACAUGCAAGUCGAACGGCAGCACGGACUUCGGUCUGGUGGCGAGUGGCGAGCGGGUGAGUAAUAUAUCGGAACGUGGCAAGUCGUGGGGGAUAACGUAGCGAAAGCUACGCUAAGACCGCAUACGAUCUACGGAGGAAAGCGGGGGAUCGGAAGACCUCGCGCGAUUGGAGCGGCCGAUAUCAGAUUAGGUAGUUGGUGAGGUAAAGGCUCACCAAGCCGACGAUCUGUAGCUGGUCUGAGAGGACGACCAGCCACACUGGGACUGAGACACGGCCCAGACUCCUACGGGAGGCAGCAGUGGGGAAUUUUGGACAAUGGACGCAAGUCUGAUCCAGCCAUUCCGCGUGCAGGACGAAGGCCUUCGGGUUGUAAACUGCUUUUGUACAGAACGAAAAGGUCUCUAUUAAUACUAGGGGCUCAUGACGGUACUGUAAGAAUAAGCACCGGCUAACUACGUGCCAGCAGCCGCGGUAA